Leptidea sinapis is the source of this 938-nucleotide long non-coding RNA. RefSeq lists it as uncharacterized. NCBI's taxonomy places the organism in Eukaryota, Metazoa, Arthropoda, Insecta, Lepidoptera, Pieridae. The record is from RefSeq and is a predicted model, not a curated record. The transcript is spliced from 5 exons.
UUUGCGAAUAAAGUCUGAUAAACCGAAUUUCAAAGAAGAUAAGACAAUUUAAUUAUUGACUACAGUUGAAUUAUUUUUUCACUAUGUCGCGUAUAUAUUACCUUUUUUUGAUAAUUUGUAGUUUUGGUGUUCUUGCUCAAUGGCAUAACCAAGCCUGUCUGUUAAACUAUGGGGAUUACAUUCACGACAUCCUGCAGGAGACGUUGCAUGAACUGGAAAAUGACGUUAAGUUGUGCAACUUGAAAAUUAUUGACUUCAAUCAAACUAUAGACCAACAAAUGUAUUCAUGGUACUUAGGUGGAAUUGUUGUAUAUUCCAAUGGAUUUGUUAAUUCCAUUGAGAUGGUAAAUGUGCCUGCUGUUUCCAAUAUGUUCACCAGACGCGUCAAUGCCAACUACACGGAAUACUUCGCUGGUAUAUCAGCAACAUUGGACUUUGAUAACGUCAAACUUGGGAUGGAUGUCUCAACGAUUAUAGAGGGUAUUGGUGAAGGGCACUAUACCGGAGUGUUCAAUAUGAACCGGAUAAGGUUUACUCUCGGGAUCCAGAAGAACAUAAAUACGAACAUUACUACAGUAUCAAUUACCAACUCAGGUACAACAGCUACUUCUCAAAAAAUGCAAUAUCUACCAAAUACAAAUGUGACCCAAGUUCUGUCUCGGAUGUUUAAUCAUAAUUUGAUGUCAAACAGUUACUCGACGUGGGCUCACGAUAUAAUACUGCCUAUUGUAACUAGGAAUGUGGGAAAAUACGAAUUUCCUGAAAUACGCUUCGAUGGAUGCUAGAUCUUGAAGAAACUGAGUUCUGUGACCGUGAAAAAGCAUAAAAGUCAAAUAACGUAAUUAUUUUUGAUAAGACGUGUACUUAGAGUUACCUAGACGUGUUUAUCACAGCAAAACAAUGUAUUGACAAUUAAUAAUAUUAUAUGAUGAAUAUGU